This 1105-nucleotide long non-coding RNA is filed under the name Homo sapiens (human). Its description in RNAcentral is "long intergenic non-protein coding RNA 2395". The record is from RNAcentral. Lineage: Eukaryota; Metazoa; Chordata; Mammalia; Primates; Hominidae.
GGUACAACAGAGACAGCUGUUUGUCCCCCAGUAUCCUUCAGACAAAGCCAUAUAUGAUUGAAGGUUAUCAGUACUGUGCUUUUGGAGGAUUCAGAAGAAGUUAUAUCUGAUUGGGAGAUUGAAAAGGAUUGGCCUGAAGGAGAGGUGGUUUUUGAACUGCAUCUUAAAGGAUGAGGAAACUGAGGCUGAGAGGGUAGAGAACUUUGCCUGAGGUCACUCAGCAGGGACCCACCCAUCACAGUAAAUGCCAGCACUGCUGAUGCCAAAACAAUGUUAUUUGUGCCUGAACACCCUGUCCUACCUGGUCCUACCUGGAUGCUGGCCUCAGUAAGCUCCUGGGCUCAUUGAAGAUGAACCUAGCAGUAGUAUUUACACCACUUGUUGUGUGCCCACUGUGGGCCCGGCGCCAUGCCGAGUGCUCUAUGGAUGUGAGAUGAGAACACUGAAGCAGUUUUUUCUAAAGAUAGCUGCCUGGCACAGUGGCUCACAUCUGUAGUCCCAGCAUUUGGGGAGGCCAAGGCAGGUGGAUCACUUGAGGCCAGGAAUUCAAGACCAGCAUGGCCAACAUGUGCUGGGAGAGAAAAGCAUACGACAUAGACAGGGAGGUCAAGCUCCACCACGCAGAUGAGGUGCAGGCCACCAGUCUUCCUCUGCCACAUCUCUUUCUGAAAAGGACUUCACAUUCACCCUUGCAAUCCAUGUGGGGACACUGUUGGAUAGGAGGCGUGGUCCCAGCGUGGUCUCCCUGUCUGGGCCUCUGCCUAUGCCAAAUGUUUGCCUUACGCUGCACACUCAAGAGGUUCCAUGUAUACAGAUGGGAAUUCCAGAGCUACAGAAAAGGCAGCAAGCACCAUGAUUUAAGCUAACCAGUGUGGAUUCACACCUUCCUCUCUCUCUAUCAGUGGCAGAACUACCAGCUAGAGUAAGAAGUGGUUGAUCCAGGACCUAAACAUUCUGGAAACUCUUGCCCACUUCUGGGAGAAAUGACCCAAUCCAUAGUACUAAGCACACCUUAACUUUCGUAGGACGCAGGCAAGUUGUCAUACCGUGUGCCUAAAUAUAGAAAAAUGAUCCACUGGACUAAUAAAGUGUUAAAUAAAAUAUG